This 345-nucleotide ribosomal RNA is filed under the name uncultured bacterium. RNAcentral's name for it is "bacterial SSU rRNA". It matches the Rfam family "Bacterial small subunit ribosomal RNA", at positions 32 to 368 of the family's 1533-position model. The record is from RNAcentral.
AAUCAACGCUGGCGGCGUGCCUCAGACAUGCAAGUCGAACGAUUAAACUUGCCUUCGGGCAAGAUAUAAAGUGGCGCACGGGUGAGUAACACGUAAGUAAUCUACCUUCGAGUGGGGAAUAACGUCGGGAAACCGACGCUAAUACCGCAUAAUGCAGCGGCACCUAAUGGUGACAGUUGUUAAAGGAGCAAUUCGCUUGAAGAGGAGCUUGCGGCAGAUUAGCUAGNGGUAAGGUAAUGGCUUACCAAGGCUACGAUCUGUAACCGGUCUAAGAGGACGGUCGGUCACACUGACACUGAAUAACGGGUCAGACUCCUACGGGAGGCAGCAGUCGGGAAUUUUGGG